This is a long non-coding RNA of Mesocricetus auratus (golden hamster), 552 nucleotides long. RefSeq lists it as uncharacterized. NCBI's taxonomy places the organism in Eukaryota, Metazoa, Chordata, Mammalia, Rodentia, Cricetidae. The record is from RefSeq and is a predicted model, not a curated record. The transcript is spliced from 3 exons.
GCAGGGGCCAGGCAGAAUCCCGCAGACCGAGAAUGGAGGCAGAGACUUAACGGAAUUGGAAGCCUGGGAUCGUUUUUACAGAGGAGGCCCAGGCCCAGGAAGGUACCAGAUGAAGUCCUGGAUGGCGCUGGGGACGCCGCGCAGGGAGAGGAGAAGGUCCUGGUUCUUCUGAGGCUGCUCUGGGAUCUUCUGGAUGUGGAGGGCGGCCUGGGAGCCAUGGGGCAGCCAGAGAGCCAGGAUCAAGGCUGCAGGGAGGUAUGGAGGAGGCCUGAGCUCGGGUGGAGAAAACCAAACUGUCUUCUCUGCUGACUCUCAGCUGGAAGCCAGGACCCUGAGGGCUGCCCAUUGGAAUCGGCGCUGAGAUUGAUUAGUGAUGUCUGCCCUGGGUGCGGGAAUGGGAAUACAGGCACAGAUGCCACCGAUCUGCCACCCCACUGACAGAAGGUUUUGUUUUGUUGCUCUGAGAUGGACCCUCUGUAUUCACUCGUUCAACUAGUAUCUAAAGGUGUAUCUAUUAGUUAUCAUGCCAAUUACAUCACAGGCCUAAAACUC